AGCUCCAAUAGCGUAUAUUAAAGUUGUUGCAGUUAAAAAGCUCGUAGUUGGAUUUCUGGGAGAGUGCCAAUGUCCGCCGACGUGCGUGCGCAGCGGCGCUCUUUCAUCCUUCUGUCAACGGCUCUUGGCAUUCAUUUGCUGGUGUCGGGCUCAGAUAUUUUACCUUGAGAAAAUUAGAGUGUUUCAGGCAGGCUAGGCCGGAAUACAUUAGCAUGGAAUAAUGGAAUAGGACUACGGUCUCUUUGUUGGUUUGAGGGACUGCAGUAAUGAUUAAUAGGGAUAGUUGGGGGCAUUAGUAUUUAAUUGUCAGAGGUGGAAUUCUCGGAUUUGUUAAAGACUAACUUAUGCGAAAGCAUUUGUCAAGGAUGUUUUCA
Molecule: ribosomal RNA, 374 nt
Filed under: uncultured eukaryote
Lineage: Eukaryota
Description: SSU rRNA
Rfam family: Eukaryotic small subunit ribosomal RNA
Source: RNAcentral